ACUGAACCAGGUGCUCCACAGGGCGCAGCUUUAUACGACCGCAGAGGUCGAACCCUGAACAGUUGGGGCAAGUAUGGACAAAACAUUCAAGCUUGAUUCAGCUCUGAAUUUGGAUUGUGAUCAAAUUUUUGACAUUAUAUGGGUUUUUUACACAAAAAAAAUGUCAAGAUCUUACAAAUCAAUUAAAGAUUUCUUCUUCAAACUUAUUUAAAUUUAAAAUUAAAUAGUUGACACAGCAUAGGUUUCUGACACAGAAUGAAUGUGGUCUAAUGAACUUAAAUUUUUUUUUGCCUUUGAGCAAUUCACUAUGCUGUUGAAUAUUAAUCCUCACAAAAAAAUGUUUGAAGAAAUUUUCUUUUUAAUUAUGAAAUCUGAAAUGAGAACCAGGUGCUCCGCAGGGCGCAGCUUUAUACGACCGCAGAGGUCGAACCCUGAACAGUUGGGGCAAGUAUGGACAAAACAUUCAAGCGUGAUACAGCUCUGAAUUUGGAUUGUGAUCAAAUUUUUGACAUUACAUGGGUUUUUUUUACACAAAACAAAUGUCAAGAUUUUACAAAUCAAUUAAAGAUUUCUUCUUCAAACUUUUUAAAUCUAAAAUUAAAUAGUUGACACAGAAUGAAUGUGGUCUAAUGAACUUAAAAGUUUUUUUUUGCCUUUGAGCAAUUCACUAUGCUGUUGAAUAUUAAUCCUCUCAAAAAAAUGUUUGAAGAAAUUUUCUUUUUAUUUAUGAAAUCUGAAAUGAGAAAAAAUUAACCCCCCCCCUUUUUUUUUCACAUCCCCGUUUCCCUUUUUCCAAAACUGAUAUCAAUUCAAAUUUCUAAUGGAGUUUGCAACAAUA
Molecule: long non-coding RNA, 838 nt
Filed under: Mytilus galloprovincialis (Mediterranean mussel)
Lineage: Eukaryota; Metazoa; Mollusca; Bivalvia; Mytilida; Mytilidae
Source: RNAcentral